RNAcentral lists this ribosomal RNA (465 nucleotides) under uncultured bacterium. RNAcentral's name for it is "partial 16S ribosomal RNA". It matches the Rfam family "Bacterial small subunit ribosomal RNA", at positions 28 to 507 of the family's 1533-position model. The record is from RNAcentral.
GACGAACGCUGGCGGCGUGCUUAACACAUGCAAGUCGAACGGAAAGGCCCUGCUUGCAGGGUACUCGAGUGGCGAACGGGUGAGUAACAAGUGGGUGAACUGCCCAGCACUUAGGGAUAGGCCAGGGAAACUGGGUGUAAUACCGGCCAGGAGACAUAUUGAACGGGAUGGUUGGAAAGUUUUGUCGGUGUAGGAUGAGAUCGCGGGCUAACAGCUUGUUGGUGGGGUAAUGGCCUACCAAGGCGGCGACGGGUAGCGGGCCUGUGAGGGUGGACGGCCAUACAGGGUCCUACGUGAGGCAGAGAUAGGUACGCGAGGGAGCUGUGCGGAAUCUUGCCCAAGCGGCGCCGGCUGGGUGCAGCGAGGCCGCGUGGGGUAUGACGCUCUUCUUGUUGUAGACCCCUUUCGUAAGGGACUAUGCUCUUUGUGACGGUACCUAGACAAGAAGCCCCGGCUAACUACGUG